RNAcentral lists this transfer RNA (72 nucleotides) under Candidatus Levyibacteriota bacterium. RNAcentral's name for it is "tRNA-Val". It matches the Rfam family "tRNA". From Rfam's summary of the family: Transfer RNA (tRNA) molecules are approximately 80 nucleotides in length. Their secondary structure includes four short double-helical elements and three loops (D, anti-codon, and T loops). Lineage: Bacteria; Candidatus Levyibacteriota. The record is from RNAcentral.
GAGCCCGUGGUUCAGUGGUAGAACGCUUCAUUCACAUUGAAGAGGUCGAUGGUUCAAAUCCAUCCGGGCUCA